RNAcentral lists this ribosomal RNA (355 nucleotides) under uncultured bacterium. RNAcentral describes it as "bacterial SSU rRNA". It matches the Rfam family "Bacterial small subunit ribosomal RNA", at positions 1 to 334 of the family's 1533-position model. The record is from RNAcentral.
CUAGCGACUUCAGAGUUUGAUCCUGGCUCAGGAUGAACGCUGGCGGCGUGCUUAACACAUGCAAGUCGAACGAGCUGCACGGACGGAAGUUUUCGGAUGGAAGACCGUGUACGCGAGUGGCGGACGGGUGAGUAACGCGUGGGGAACCUGCCCUGUUCCGGGGGAUACCAGUUGGAAACGACUGUUAAUACCGCAUAAGCGCACGGUACCGCAUGGUACAGUGUGAAAAACUCCGGUGGAACGGGAUGGCCCUGCGUCUGAUUAGGCAGUUGGCGGGGUAACGGCCCACCAAACCGACGAUCAGUAGCCGACCUGAGAGGGUGACCGGCCACAUUGGGACUGAGACACAGCCCAA